This 547-nucleotide ribosomal RNA is filed under the name uncultured bacterium. Its description in RNAcentral is "partial 16S ribosomal RNA". It matches the Rfam family "Bacterial small subunit ribosomal RNA", at positions 356 to 895 of the family's 1533-position model. The record is from RNAcentral.
UGGGGAAUUUGGACAAUGGGCGAAAGCCUGAUCCAGCAAUGCCGCGUGUGUGAAGAAGGCCUUCGGGUUGUAAAGCACUUUUGUCCGGAAAGAAAUCCUUGGCUCUAAUACAGUCGGGGGAUGACGGUACCGGAAGAAUAAGCACCGGCUAACUACGUGCCAGCAGCCGCGGUAAUACGUAGGGUGCAAGCGUUAAUCGGAAUUACUGGGCGUAAAGCGUGCGCAGGCGGUUUGCUAAGACCGAUGUGAAAUCCCCGGGCUCAACCUGGGAACUGCAUUGGUGACUGGCAGGCUAGAGUAUGGCAGAGGGGGGUAGAAUUCCACGUGUAGCAGUGAAAUGCGUAGAGAUGUGGAGGAAUACCGAUGGCGAAGGCAGCCCCCUGGGCAAUACUGACGCUCAUGCACGAAAGCGUGGGGAGCAAAACAGGAUUAGAUACCCUGGUAGUCCACGCCCUAAAACGAUGUCAACUAGUUGUUGGGGAUUCAUUUCCUUAGUAACGUAGCUAACGCGUGAAGUUGACCGCCUGGGGAGUACGGUCGCAAGAUU